This 311-nucleotide ribosomal RNA is filed under the name Escherichia coli. RNAcentral's name for it is "partial 23S ribosomal RNA". It matches the Rfam family "Bacterial large subunit ribosomal RNA", at positions 1269 to 1577 of the family's 2925-position model. The record is from RNAcentral. Lineage: Bacteria; Pseudomonadati; Pseudomonadota; Gammaproteobacteria; Enterobacterales; Enterobacteriaceae.
ACUGGUGGAGCGCUUAGAAGUGAGAAUGCCGGUAUGAGUAGCGAAAGAAGGGUGAGAAUCCCUUCCACCGAAUAUCUAAGGUUUCCUGAGGAAGGCUCGUCCGCUCAGGGUUAGUCGGGACCUAAGCCGAGGCCGAUAGGCGUAGGCGAUGGACAACAGGUAGAGAUUCCUGUACCAGUGCUAAUUGUUUAACCGAUGGGGUGACACAGAAGGAUAGGGAAUCGCACGAAUGGAAAUGUGCGUCCAAGCAGUGAGUGUGAGAAGUAGGCAAAUCCGCUUCUCACGAAGCAUGAGCUGUGAUGGGGAAGGAA